UGAGCUGCAAACCCAAGGCUGCCAGGAGAAGGAAGGUCCAGUUGUUCCUGCAGGGACCCAGAACAGAGGCGCAGGACGGCCAGUGUCCUUGGCAGGGACAGUGGCCCCGCUGCAGGGAGAGUGGGGGUGCCCAGAGAGAGAGGGAAUCUGGGCAGGCUCCGUGUGAGCAGAGCUGUGUGGGCAAGCUGAGUCAGAAAGGGACCUCAGCUUGGUGGGGGCAGAGAAGAAGAAUUUAAAGGGAGGGGCAGGGUCACUGCCUUGAGGAAUUUGGGGGAGGACAAAGUUAGGUCACACUUCCGGAGACAGCUGGAGUCUUGUCUGUUCUUUGGGGUCUACUGUACCCCUGCCACGGGGUCACUUGGACUGCAUCCUGCCACACUGUUGCCGUGGAGACAGUGGCCCUCCAGGCUUCCUACCUGCCCCGCUGCCAGGGAGCACACAGCAGUACCCAGCCCUCGCUGGAGACUUGGACAACUUCGUCCUCAGCAGAGGUGGCCUGUUCCUGCUCCAGGAGUGCUCCAGGCCCCCCGGACUCACGAUGUGGCAGAGCUGCAGCCUAAGCCCUGUGCCACCACUCCCGGUGUGACGUGCCUUCUGACCCAGCGCUCUUUCCAGGCCAGCAGAGUCUGGCAGUGUUCCCGCCAGCCGGAAGCAGCCGGAUGGACAGCACAGUAGAGCGGUCUUUGGAAGACACAAUUACAAUGCCAGCUAUGCG
RNAcentral lists this long non-coding RNA (715 nucleotides) under Fukomys damarensis (Damara mole-rat). RNAcentral's name for it is "lncRNA (ENSFDAG00000024041.1)". The record is from RNAcentral. Lineage: Eukaryota; Metazoa; Chordata; Mammalia; Rodentia; Bathyergidae.